Molecule: ribosomal RNA, 484 nt
Filed under: uncultured bacterium
Lineage: Bacteria
Description: partial 16S ribosomal RNA
Rfam family: Bacterial small subunit ribosomal RNA
Source: RNAcentral
AUUGAACGCUGGCGGCAGGCCUAACACAUGCAAGUCGAGCGGAUGAAGGGAGCUUGCUCCUGGAUUCAGCGGCGGACGGGUGAGUAAUGCCUAGGAAUCUGCCUGGUAGUGGGGGAUAACGUCCGGAAACGGGCGCUAAUACUGCAUACGUCCUGAGGGAGAAAGUGGGGGAUCUUCGGACCUCACGCUAUCAGAUGAGCCUAGGUCGGAUUAGCUAGUUGGUGGGGUAAAGGCCUACCAAGGCGACGAUCCGUAACUGGUCUGAGGGGAUGAUCAGUCACACUGGAACUGAGACACGGUCCAGACUCCUACGGGAGGCAGCAGUGGGGAAUAUUGGACAAUGGGCGAAAGCCUGAUCCAGCCAUGCCGCGUGUGUGAAGAAGGUCUUCGGAUUGUAAAGCACUUUAAGUUGGGAGGAAGGGCAGUAAGUUAAUACCUUGCUGUUUUGACGUUACCAACAGAAUAAGCACCGGCUAACUUCGUG